Molecule: ribosomal RNA, 372 nt
Filed under: uncultured organism
Description: bacterial SSU rRNA
Rfam family: Bacterial small subunit ribosomal RNA
Source: RNAcentral
CGUAGGGUGCGAGCGUUAAUCGGAAUUACUGGGCGUAAAGUGUGCGCAGGUGGCCGCGCAUGUCGAGUGUGAAAUCCCCGGGCUUAACUUGGGAAUUGCGCUCGAAACUACGUGGCUAGAGUGUGGCAGGGGAAGGUGGAAUUCCACGUGUAGCGGUGAAAUGCGUAGAGAUGUGGAGGAACACCGAUGGCGAAGGCAGCCUUCUGGGCCAACACUGACGCUCAUGCACGAAAGCGUGGGGAGCAAACAGGAUUAGAUACCCUGGUAGUCCACGCCCUAAACGAUGAUGACUAGUUGUUGGAGGAGUUAAAUCCUUUAGUAACGCAGCUAACGCGUGAAGUCAUCCGCCUGGGGAGUACGGUCGCAAGAUUA